This 254-nucleotide ribosomal RNA is filed under the name uncultured bacterium. RNAcentral describes it as "partial 16S ribosomal RNA". It matches the Rfam family "Bacterial small subunit ribosomal RNA", at positions 524 to 777 of the family's 1533-position model. The record is from RNAcentral.
UACAGAGGUCUCAAGCGUUGUUCGGAUUCAUUGGGCGUAAAGGGUGUGUAGGUGGCGCGCUAAGUCGGGUGUGAAAUUUCGGAGCUUAACUCCGAAACUGCAUUCGAUACUGGCGUGCUUGAGGACUGGAGAGGAGACUGGAAUUCAUGGUGUAGCAGUGAAAUGCGUAGAGAUCAUGAGGAAGACCAGUGGCGAAGGCGGGUCUCUGGACAGUUCCUGACACUGAGACACGAAGGCCAGGGGAGCAAACGGGA